Molecule: long non-coding RNA, 3821 nt
Organism: Marmota monax (woodchuck)
Lineage: Eukaryota; Metazoa; Chordata; Mammalia; Rodentia; Sciuridae
Exons: 3
Source: RefSeq, a predicted model, not a curated record
UGCACACGUCAUCCUCUGCAGCCCCUAGAACCGUCCUGGGAAGGAUGGGGAGCAGGGAGCCCAAUAGGACAAGGGUCUGGCGACAAGGGCGAGAGCCGAGCAAGGAGGCCAUUGGCUGCAGGUCCACCUACCCUGGAGUUCAGGACGAGGUCCCUGGCCGCAGGGUCCUAGCUGCACAGAGGCCAGGGUCCAGCUCCCCAAGGUAGGACAAAGGCAAACAAGAGCCUAUUCGGAGUGGGUCCCCUCUGAGCAGAGCUUCUCAGGACCCUGGACGGCUGGCUCUGGGUCUGAAUAUGGUAGAGGAUAUUCUUCUUGGGGCCUGGGGGAUGGCCUCUCGGCAACCUUUUCUCCUUUGGGAAGGCAGCAAUGGGUACAGUGGGAUUUCACACAUGCAAUUAAAACGUUUCCUGGCAACAAGAGUGACUUGAGCCUCUCAGCACGCGGUCAGUGUGCAGAUAGAAAGCUGUUGGCAUCUUCGGUGAUUCAGCUUCCUUUCCAAGUCUCACCUCCCACCCCAAAACACAGUGGAAGCUCCACAGAGCUCAUCUGUUUUCUCGGUGGGGCCUGGGCUGGACACGGAGGGACAGAACGUAGCCAGUGCUCUGAGCCCAGGGCCAGGACACCCCGGGGCUGUGCUUUCAGGGCCUGCCUCCUGGUCCCUUCUAGUGGGGAGCAGGCCAGGCCCCUGGGGAUGGAGACAGAGGUGUGGCUGUGUUCAGAGAGGCUUGGCUCCCGAGAGCCCGCAGCCCCCAGCAAGCACCCCUGAACUCCAGGGUCAGGUGGGGAGGCAGGAUGAGUCAAGUCGGAUCUGUUCCUACCUCCACGCCCUUCCCCAGGCUCCUUCCUUUUGGGGGACACAAGACUUUGCUGUUUACCACCCGCUUUUCUAGCCCCUGCUGCCUGCAACGGAGCCCCAACAGUGUGAGCUCCAGUGUGAGCCCAGACAGUGUGACUCCAGCUCUAACUCUGUCCCCAUCAGCCGUGUGAUGGUGACCUGGGUCCUCGCACCUUCACCACCCAGCUCCAGGGGCUCCAGGUGCUGUGGGAAACGAGGGUCCUCUGUAACGUCAACACGUCUUGAAGAUCCACGGGGGACUUUGGUGUUUGUUGUUUGAGAAAAUAACUAGAGUCAAAAGGACAUUGUAGAGGACAUUGCCAUAUUCACCUGCAAUCCCAGGGACUUGGGAGGUGAGGAAGGAGGAUCUCAAGUUCAAGACCAGCCUCAGUAACUUAGUGAGACCCCGUCUCAAAGAAAAAUAUCAAAAGGGCUGGGGAUGUCUCUUAGUGGUAGAGUGUUCCCAGGUUCAACCCCCAGUACCCAAACAGAUAGAUAAAUGAACAAGGCGUCAUGAAGCCCAGGCUUUGGGUCCUGCCGACCCUAGCUGCACCCACGUGGCACUGGAAAACGGUUAACGGAGCUCACUCCGUGUUUGGAAGACAUCUGUCGGCCGUUUGGGUUCACAGACCCCUUGUUAUGAUGCCAUUGUUCCAACCCAGGCCGGUGGCUUGCCCAGGAUGGGGUCACUGAGGUCAUGAGCGCAGUGUCCCUGAAUUCAGGGUUGCGUGACGGUCCUGUAGGUAUGUCAGAGAGCUGGCCAGCUCCUGGGGCCAGGGCUGGCGGCUGGUGGCCUUGUAGCUAGUGUAGGGAGAGUGCACGGUGUGGCUUGUUUUGGCCAUGACCCAUCCUGGGGCCCGAGGCGACCCUCCCUGAUGACAGCUGUGCUGUGGUCCCACAGAGGCAAAUCAUCAUUUGGGAGGCCAAGGUGGCGGCCAUUCAUGCAGAGGUACAUCUCACCCAGGAAAGUAGGCGGGGCCACAGGAGGGGCCAGAGCUCCAACGUGGCCUGGUGCAGAGCUGGAGGUGACCCGUGAGCUUGAGUGUCCCCGCAAGAAAGAAGCAGCAGAGGUGCAGAGACCGGAGCAGGUGGGCCGGCGGCCGUCCUCAGUCAGCAGGGCAAGGAGAAGAGCAGAAGAGGGAAGGCGUUCUUCUUUUUUCCCCUCUUAGAUGCUGACGGACCUUUACUUUAUCCAUUUAUUUGUAUGCGGUGCUGAGAAUCGAACCCAGAGCCUCACGCAGGCCAGGCAAGCACUCUACCGCUGAGCCCCAGCCCAGCCCUGGGAAGAUGGGCUUUCCUGGGAGAGCCGGACUCGAGGCCUGAGGGAAUCCCCCUGGCUCCUGGGGUGCAGGGGACAUGGUGCCACCCUCCUCGGGGCAGGCGGAUCGUAGCCCAGGUCCUGCCUGCUGCAGCUAGGCCUCCAGGAAGGCACCGGGCCUCUCCACUAGCAGCAGCCUGGAGCUCCACUCUCCCUUGGUGGGGCCUCUGGUUCUUGACCUGAGCCCUGUCCCUCCCUUGUCCCCAGGACGUGGGAGUUUUCACAGUGUAAAGCAGCCUGCCAUGCGCCUUGGAGAUGGUCCUGGUUCUGCUCCCCACCCCCAGGGAUGAAGAGAUUGGCCUUGAUUGCCCCGAAGUCCCUUGCCAUUCAGGUGACAGUCCUCUUCCAAAGAGCGUCUCUGCAGAGUUGGCACUGGUGGGCAUGGGGCCCAGACAGUGUGAGCUCCAUCUCCAACUCUGUCCCCAUCAGCUGUGUGACUGUGGGACAGUUGCUUCACCUCUCUGGGCUUCAGUUAUGUCAUAGUAAGCUUUUGUUUGUUACAAACAAAUCCAGAGGUGACUGGGAGGAUUCAAUGGCUCUGCAGAGUGCCUUGCACCUAGUAAGUCCUGGGUGAAUGACACAGCCUUGUGAAUGACAGCUACCAUGUCAAACAGCGGCAGCAGGAGGCAUGUUAUCUGACUGGUCAAAAGGACCCAUUCCAAAAAGAAACAGGUGACAGGUGAAGAGCAGACUGAGUGUGGCUGUGGCCAUCCCCCCGGGGGCUUGUUCCCUGUGACUUCAGAGUUCCUGACUCGGAAGUCCUGGGUAAAGCCCCAGAGCGUGCAUUUCCGACACAUCCUCAGGUGACGCUGAUGCUGCAGGCCAGGUGACAGCCCUGGAGAAGCACAGAUCGUAGAUUAGAUCCUAAGGAUGGUUUCCCCUUCCAAUUUGUUAGAACAGGAAUAAUGAGACAAAACACUUCUGAAAAGUGCAAGAGAAAAAUAGAGUCUACUGAUUCGUUUUCCCAAACCAGCAAUAGGCUACUUACAAAGGAGCAGAUCUCCAGGAUGCGUAUCAAUAUGGUGAGUCUAUCACCAUAGAAAUCUAAAUGUAAAAAAAGUUAUUAAGGCCCAUUUGACCCAUGAGUUAAAACCAACAUUCUGGUGUAAUGCAGAUUGAUUUCACUUCUGUCCCCAAACCUGUGAGCACCCAGAUGGUAAGACAGAUCAUUUUAACCGUCCAGACUGCAGUGAAGAAGAGCAUGUAGGAGGGGUUCAGGGGCUGGAUUUGGAUUUCGAAUCCUCUUCUGCUUGCGGUCUCCCUGUGAGCCCCAACCCCUGGGCGAGCGGCGCUGGGGUGGGGGGGCUGGCGUGGGCUGCUGGGAGGGGCAGGAGCUGCAGGGCCAGGUCAGGCUGAGGGCUCUGGCUGACGCAGGAGGAAGCCGAGCAGGAUGGGGGGGCAGCUGUUCCCGGGCUCCGGGGCGAGUUUUCCUGUUAUUCUGUUGGCUGGCCAGCUCCUAAAUUUAGUAUAGGUUAAAAACAGAACACUUCCAGUACAGAGGAGGUGAGAGGUCCCCGGGGACAGCGCACUGCGGUGGGGACUGUGGAUUCUUUUCUUCCCCAGGCUGAGGACACAAGGACCUGCCCAGGGUUCCAGGAAGCCCAGCCAGCAGCGACCCGAGCUGCCAGGCUCCCAGAUGCUCUGGAGGAUCUCGUGACUCUCAGGCGG